AUUGAACGCUGGCGGAAUGCUUUACACAUGCAAGUCGAACGGCAGCACGGGGGCAACCCUGGUGGCGAGUGGCGAACGGGUGAGUAAUACAUCGGAACGUGCCCAGUCGUGGGGGAUAACUACGCGAAAGCGUAGCUAAUACCGCAUACGAUCUACGGAUGAAAGCGGGGGAUCGCAAGACCUCGCGCGAUUGGAGCGGCCGAUGGCAGAUUAGGUAGUUGGUGGGGUAAAGGCUCACCAAGCCGACGAUCUGUAGCUGGUCUGAGAGGACGACCAGCCACACUGGGACUGAGACACGGCCCAGACUCCUACGGGAGGCAGCAGUGGGGAAUUUUGGACAAUGGGCGCAAGCCUGAUCCAGCCAUUCCGCGUGCAGGAUGAAGGCCCUCGGGUUGUAAACUGCUUUUGUACGGAACGAAACGCGCCGGGCUAAUACCCUGGCGUAAUGACGGUACCGUAAGAAUAAGCACCGGCUAACUACGUGCCAGCAGCCGCCGUAA
This 500-nucleotide ribosomal RNA is filed under the name uncultured bacterium. Its description in RNAcentral is "partial 16S ribosomal RNA". It matches the Rfam family "Bacterial small subunit ribosomal RNA", at positions 29 to 523 of the family's 1533-position model. The record is from RNAcentral.